This 405-nucleotide long non-coding RNA is filed under the name Equus caballus (horse). RNAcentral's name for it is "lncRNA (ENSECAG00000059817.1)". Lineage: Eukaryota; Metazoa; Chordata; Mammalia; Perissodactyla; Equidae. The record is from RNAcentral.
AGAAGGUCAAGGUUAACCUUCUCUUUUACCUCUUUAGGAAUGCCACGUGUAUAAUGAAUCUUUGCAAGUACAACUUCCAUGUAUUGCUGUUGUCUGAAUUCAUGUCAGUGGAGUUCCUUAUGGCAAUGAAAAAGCGGCUCUGAGAACUUAUGCGACUGGAUCAAGGUAACACAGCUAACAGAUAGAAGACUUUAUCAACUUGUUCCCUUGUUCUGAAUUUCUGAUGAAGAGCCAAGAACCUGGUUGAAUUGAUUUUUUUUUUAAGAUUGGCACCUGAGCUAACAGCUAUUGCCAAUCUUCUUUUUGUUUUUUUUUUCCUGCUUUUUCUCCCCAAAGCCCCUUAGUGCAUAGUUGUGUAUUUUAGUUGUGGGUCCUUCUAGUUGUGGCAUGUGGGACGCCGCCUCA